UAUUCAACAACACUGAAAAGGAAAAUGAAAGCAUUCAAUGUAGGCUACACUGGACAAAAAACACAUACACCAAGACACUCCACAAACCCAGACACCUCAGAAGCGCAGAGGCACAUCCACUAAUAUGGGAAAGAUCUACCAAGUCUUAGUGGAAGGAUUGAGAGGGGAGAAAAUGACAAUCGACGUGGGUGAAACAGAGGAAGAGAUGAACAAUACCACAGUGCUGCAGCUGAAACAGAAAAUUUUGAAGAAACUGCCGGGUCCCUCAGCUGGAAAUGAGGUUGAGACCAUACGUCUGAUCUUCACAGACAAGCCAUUGGAAGACCAAUCCAAGCUCUCCUCUUAUGAGAUCCAGGACAAGUCACUCAUUUUUCUGGUACUGCGGCAGAAUGGGGGACAGAGAGACUGACAGAUGGACAAUUUCUGAUUGAAUACAUUAGGAAUACACUAUGAAAGAAAAAUGUUGUAUCAUUGUUUAUCUUACUAUGAUCUGACAAAACAUUUCCCAGGCCUAUUAUAAUGAUUUUUAAUCUGUCACAUAUAAAAUAAUAAAUAUUAUCCUAACAAAAAUUAA
Non-coding RNA from Salmo salar (Atlantic salmon), 574 nucleotides. NCBI's taxonomy places the organism in Eukaryota, Metazoa, Chordata, Actinopteri, Salmoniformes, Salmonidae. The record is from RefSeq and is a predicted model, not a curated record.